CUUAAUGUCCCUGAGUAGAACCGAGGGAUUUGAAAAUGAGGCUAUCACUUUGCAAAAGGGAGCCAUCUUCCCCAUCUGUAAUAAGAAUAAUAAGCAAUUAAUAUUUUAUAAAACUUCGACAGAGCAUGUUCAGCAGCAAUUAUCAGGCCUGUAACACAAGGCCAAGGAAGAUGAAGGAAUUAGGAUGAUCAAGGUUCUGCCAUCUCUUCUCCUACAGUUCCUCUAGCAAACAUAAAACUCGGAACAGAUUGGAGACAUGGGUGUCGUGAUGUAAGAAGAACUUGAAAACAUAGGACAAUAUCACAGGAGAUGGAAACUGCGAAUGUGGGGAAAUUGCAGAAUCCUGAACAUUUAUUGAUAGGCCAUAAACACGAUGGACUAUGUACAAUGGACGAUUCAUUCCUGGCCAACGAUAAGACUAUUCAGAACGCUACUCUCUGGGCCCCAAAGGCUAUAAAAUGUCACGAACUGAGAGCCUUGGGACAAAAUGAGUUUCAAAGAAGAAUUUCCUGAAAAUAAGAAAGAUAGCAUCACCCAAAGGAAUUGAUAGCAUGAAAGAAAUACCGUAGUUAUUUAAGAUGGUGACAGAGUCUAGGAGUUGAAGGUAACUGAAAAGACUAUAUUAAGAUGAAAAAGGAAAGAUAAGACAGAAGGGUAAGGGUGGCAAAGACCCUGAAAGUAAUGAAGAUGGAUUUCGGCUGGACCUAGGAGCCAACAUGAAAUGAGAAUGUGGAUUUAAGAGGAUACAUCGCUUGAUUUGAAGAAUGGAAGUUAUGACUGAGGUUAGCAACACGAUACUGGAGAGCGGG
This is a long non-coding RNA of Pantherophis guttatus, 809 nucleotides long. RefSeq lists it as uncharacterized. Lineage: Eukaryota; Metazoa; Chordata; Lepidosauria; Squamata; Colubridae. The record is from RefSeq and is a predicted model, not a curated record.